Molecule: ribosomal RNA, 253 nt
Filed under: uncultured bacterium
Lineage: Bacteria
Description: partial 16S ribosomal RNA
Rfam family: Bacterial small subunit ribosomal RNA
Source: RNAcentral
UACGGGGGGGGUAAGCGUUGUUCGGAAUUACUGGGCGUAAAGCGUGCGCAGGCGGUUUUGUAAGCCAGAUGUGAAAGCCCCGGGCUCAACCUGGGAAUGGCAUUUGGGACUGCAAGGCUUGAGUGCGGCAGAGGAGACUGGAAUUCCUGGUGUAGCAGUGAAAUGCGUAGAUAUCAGGAGGAAUACCGAUGGCGAAGGCAGGUCUCUGGGCUGACACUGACGCUCAUGCACGAAAGCGUGGGGAGCAAACAGG